GUGAGGAAUAUUGGUCAAUGGGCGCAAGCCUGAACCAGCCAUGCCGCGUGCAGGAAGAAGCAUCUAUGGUGUGUAAACUGCUUUUAUACAGGAAGAAACAACGCUACGUGUAGCGUCUUGACGGUACUGUAAGAAUAAGGACCGGCUAACUCCGUGCCAGCAGCCGCGGUAAUACGGAGGGUCCAAGCGUUAUCCGGAAUCAUUGGGUUUAAAGGGUCCGUAGGCGGCCUUAUAAGUCAGUGGUGAAAUCUCCUAGCUCAACUAGGAAACUGCCAUUGAUACUGUAAGGCUUGAAUUUUUGUGAAGUAACUAGAAUAUGUAGUGUAGCGGUGAAAUGCUUAGAUAUUACAUGGAAUACCAAUUGCGAAGGCAGGUUACUAACAAACGAUUGACGCUGAUGGACGAAAGCGUGGGGAGCGAACAGGAUUAGAUACCCUGGUAGUCC
Molecule: ribosomal RNA, 445 nt
Filed under: uncultured bacterium
Lineage: Bacteria
Description: partial 16S ribosomal RNA
Rfam family: Bacterial small subunit ribosomal RNA
Source: RNAcentral